UACGUAGGCAGCAAGCGUUGUUCGGAGUUACUGGGCGUAAAGGGUGUGUAGGCGGUCGGAUAAGUGUGGUGUGAAAUCUCCCGGCUCAACUGGGAGGGUGCGCUACAAACUGUCUGGCUAGAGUGCAGGAUGGGAAAGUGGAAUUCCUGGUGUAGCGGUGAAAUGCGUAGAUAUCAGGAGGAACACCGGUGGUGUAGACGGCUUUCUGGACCGUAACUGACGCUGAAACACGAAAGCGUGGGUAGCAAACAGG
This 253-nucleotide ribosomal RNA is filed under the name uncultured bacterium. RNAcentral's name for it is "partial 16S ribosomal RNA". It matches the Rfam family "Bacterial small subunit ribosomal RNA", at positions 524 to 776 of the family's 1533-position model. The record is from RNAcentral.